This is a long non-coding RNA of Cavia porcellus (domestic guinea pig), 2305 nucleotides long. RefSeq lists it as uncharacterized. The record is from RefSeq and is a predicted model, not a curated record. Lineage: Eukaryota; Metazoa; Chordata; Mammalia; Rodentia; Caviidae. The transcript is spliced from 2 exons.
UGUCCCUGCCUCCUAAGCAGGCAGGAGGAGGGGGUGGCAUAAGGUCCAGCAAUGCCUGAGCACCAAAGCUCCUCAGGGCUGGACAGUGACCCCAGAACGCGUGCUUUCCAGAGCCGCAGAUGGGACCUUAGUCGCCAACAGGGUCCUUGCAGAUGCAAGCAUCUCAUUUAAUCAGAAUCAAUGAGAGCAGGCCCCACAUCAGUGGAGGGCAUCUUAACAAGAGUGGAGGGACACAAAACAGAGGGACCAGCAGGAAAGGAGACGGAGCUGCGGGUCGGGAGAGUCGUGGGGAGGCGAGGCUGGAGGGGUGCAGCCCAGGCAGCCAGCUGUGCCCCAGAGCAGGGAGCCCGCGGCAGCCCCCUCCUUCACCCCGGGCAGAAAUCAGUCAGUUCCACUCCACGUCACCCACGACGCUGGCAGCUGGCGGCACACAGGGCACCGGGUGAGGCUGAGGCAGCCAGAGCCGAAAAUGAAGCAGAGUGUCAGACCCAGCGAAAAUCUGGACCUGGACACCAGGAGGGCUUCGGAAACAGAAAGACUGUCGCUCACCAGGGGUACUAGAAAGCCUCUAAAUCCUUUCUGUUGUCCCUUAGAUACUGGGGAAUGCUAGUGUGACCUCUCCUGAGAAGCUCUCAGUCACAGAAAUCGAGAUUUGUCACUAAGUCGGGUCUGACAGCUCAUCACUCAAGAAUGCAGUCAUGUAAUUCCAGCACUCGGGAGAUGGAGGCAGGAGGGUCAUUGCAAGUUCGAGACCAACCUGGGCUACAAAGUGAGCUCAAGGCCAGCCUGAACUGCAGAGUGAGACACUACCUUGAAAAGACAAAAAGAAAAAGAAAAGAAAAAAAAAGAACACAGUCGUUCCUCACCGUGAAUCCCUGAGAGUGCACUGUUUGGUCCCUCUGAGCGAAUCACCUUCAUGGCUUGGUUCUUAGAUCACAGAAAAUGGGCCAUAAGGCCCAGGGAUGCUUUGGGAAGAUUCAGGAAACUGCACGCGCAGGGCGGCUGGGAGGACUUGGAGAGACGGACCCACCAUUGCCGGAUGAGCCCGACCCUGAGGACAGCUGUGCCAAGCCAAGGAAGCCAGUCUCAAAGGCACCAGUGCUGCACAACUGCUCAGGAAGAAGGUUCUAGAGGCUGCGGGUUCACAGAGACAGAAAGUAGGACAGAGGACUGGUGUCAGACAAUCUCUCCUGCUGGACAGGACUUAGUUUGGGGCCAUGAAAUGUCUCAAGGUUGGGGGGGGGCGGGGGCAGCCACACAACAAUGUGACCAAUCGGAGCCCGAGAAGAUACAUUGUAUCUUAUGCACAUUUUGCCACAAUUUGGAGAGGUUUUUCCCAGAAGCCACUUUCUUAUUUGCAAGAGGGACAGCUUCCAGAUUUGCACAAAGCUUCCAUCAGCCGCAGAGGGUAAAGCUCAUUGUCUGGAAGCCGGGACCACUGCGACCUGGAGUCUGCUGCUGUUUGUGGCUCCAUCCUUUGUCACCCUGUCACUGCUCCCUUCCGCCUCCCCAGCCGACGCCCCAGCGACUGAGGUCACAGCUGCAGCCCCGUCCACUGCUCUGGGUCUCCGGGCACAGCCCGUCCACCGACACCUGGCAAAGUCCCCGGCUAUUUUGCCAACAGGGCCAAGCCGAGGCGGGAGGGAUCCACCCAGAGCUCUGGAAGUUUCCACUUCUGCAUUUUUAAAAGGCGCUGAGCCUCCGCUGGAGCCAAGUAUGCCUCAGCCCUGCAUGUCCCCCAGCCCACAGGCCAGCAAGACUCUGUGCAUCCUGGCAUCAUCAGAAUCAGGUCCGUGGACGACCCUCCUGGAUGGGAUUUGCAGAGCUAAGCACCUCAAGCUCCUCUUCCUCUCAAUCUGAAGACCUGGAGCCCAACACAUGUGACUUACCUCGCACACAGUGGCAGGGCCUCAGAGGCCCCUCUCAGAGCGAGACAGGGGGAGCGUGCAUCUGUCCCCGCUCCCAAGAGAUGCUCAAGUCCAGCAGACAGGAGCACCAGUCCCAGGAUGAGGAGUCAGCUCUGCUCCUUACAGUGCGGUCUCCAGGGCCGCUGGUGCUGUCCUCCUUACAUUCUUGCUGUCCCAUAAGCCUGAGCGUUUGCUUUGCCCUGGGGGAGUUUUUCUGGUCCAGUUCCUCCCCCAGAGUAAUGGAGGGCACAGAAGUAUCUUUCCAUCUGUGCCUUUCAAAUCAAACUGGUACGAUUCCUUCAAAAACUUAGUGGGUUUCUUCAAUGGAGCAAUGAAUUCUUUGUAGACAAAAACCUCUCCCAAAAAUAUCAUGGCAAUAAACCCUUUCUGCUUUCACC